UCUUCACCUCUUUUGGCAAGCAGAUGGGGUGUCCCAAUCAAAAUAGACAGACUGAGUGGGCACCCCUCAUCAAGAGAGACAGGUAGUUGGGAUGCCAACCCUUGGCGCCCCUUCUAGGGUUUUUAUAAAAGAGAGGGGAGGCGUGGCCCCUCUCUAUCUCUCCUUCCACACCAAGGCAAGAGAGGAGGCAAGCCCCUCUCUCUUCCUCAUACAAUUCCAAGGGGUUGGUGCCCCUGGGACCUUCCAACA
RNAcentral lists this long non-coding RNA (249 nucleotides) under Elaeis guineensis (African oil palm). Its description in RNAcentral is "long non-coding RNA (EGUI_LNC071043)". Lineage: Eukaryota; Viridiplantae; Streptophyta; Magnoliopsida; Arecales; Arecaceae. The record is from RNAcentral.